This 372-nucleotide ribosomal RNA is filed under the name uncultured organism. Its description in RNAcentral is "partial 16S ribosomal RNA". It matches the Rfam family "Bacterial small subunit ribosomal RNA", at positions 527 to 896 of the family's 1533-position model. The record is from RNAcentral.
GGGGGGUGCAAGCGUUAAUCGGAGUUAUUGGGCGUAAAGGGUUCGUAGGUUGUUUAUUAAGUUAUGUGGGAAAUACCUGGGCUUAACCUAGGAAUGUCGGAUAAUACUGAUGAACUUGAGUAUAGUAGAGGGUAGUGGAAUUUCCGGUGUAGCGGUGAAAUGCGUAGAGAUCGGAAGGAACACCAGUGGCGAAGGCGGCUACCUGGACUAAUACUGACACUGAGGAACGAAAGCGUGGGUAGCAAACAGGAUUAGAUACCCUGGGUAGUCCACGCCGUAAACGAUGUCAACUAGCUGUUGGGUAAAUGAAUUUACUUAGUGGCGCAGCUAACGCGAUAAGUUGACCGCCUGGGGAGUACGGUCGCAAGAUUA